UACAGAGGGUGCAAGCGUUAAUCGGAAUUACUGGGCGUAAAGCGUGCGUAGACGGUAGCGUAAGUCGGGUGUGAAAGCCCCGGGCUCAACCUGGGAAUUGCAUUCGAGACUGCGUGGCUAGGGUGCGGAAGAGGGAAGCGGAAUUUCCGGUGUAGCGGUGAAAUGCGUAGAUAUCGGAAGGAACACCAGUGGCGAAAGUGGCUUCCUGGUCCAGCACCGACGUCAGGCACGAAAGCGUGGGGAGCAAACAGG
RNAcentral lists this ribosomal RNA (252 nucleotides) under uncultured bacterium. RNAcentral describes it as "partial 16S ribosomal RNA". It matches the Rfam family "Bacterial small subunit ribosomal RNA", at positions 524 to 776 of the family's 1533-position model. The record is from RNAcentral.